This 433-nucleotide ribosomal RNA is filed under the name Laibalea sp. CCDB-27844-C03. RNAcentral describes it as "partial 16S ribosomal RNA". The record is from RNAcentral. Lineage: Eukaryota; Metazoa; Arthropoda; Insecta; Hymenoptera; Braconidae.
AUAAUCUUUUUUAUAAAUUUGAUCUUUCAAAAAAAAUUAUGCUGUUAUCCCUACGGUAAUUAAUUUUAUUAAUUUAAAUUUUUAAGAUCAUUGAAUUCAAUAAUAAUUGUUAAAGUUAAAAAAAGUUUUUAAAAUUUUUAAAUUGCCCCAAUUAAAUAAUUUUUUUAUUUAAUUUAAAUAAAUUAAUUUUUUAAAUUUAUUUAUUAUGAAAUUCUAUAGGGUCUUUUUGUCUUUUUAAAAAAUUUAAGUUUUUUAACUUAAAUAAUAAAUUUAAAUUUUUAUUUUGAUAUAGUUUAUUUUUCAUUUAAUCUUUCAUUCUAGAUUUAAAUUAUAAAUCUAUUUAUUAUGCUACCUUUGUACAGUUAUUGAUACUGCAGCCAUUUAAAAAAAAAUCAUUGGGCAGAUUUGACUUAAAAUUUUUUUACUUUAAGAC